GGAGACAAAAAAUAUACUUCUUAUCUAUAACAUUAACACGGAGGUAAUGCAGAUUUUCAGUCCAUAGCCUUUUGACAGUAACCGUAUAGAGACAGUACUACCUUCUAACCAAUCUGUCUUUUUCCUGGAGACCAAUACAUACUGUACUACGCUCCGUGUAUAGAGACUUACUUCGCGUUGUUCUUAACUGUAGGAGAUUACGAUUGACAACUGGUAAGAAGAGACUUCAUAGUCAAAAAAAACGACGUGGGGGUAAGGCUGCUCCAGUGCGUGUGUAUGGUGGCCCUUAGGGUGCCUGGGAUACAAGCUCGCGCUCGCUGCCGUUAUCGUAGACGUUCAUGAACUGGUUGUGCGAUGGGCCCACACCAUAGGUGAUAACUCCGGUUCGUUGGAUCGAGCCAGUAGGAAUUCACACGAACACAGGUGGUGGACUACUUCUUGCCCUCUUCUAACGACUGAAACACGGAUUACUACCAACGGACUUGAAGCAUCUCGUUUAACUGCUCCACAACUAACGACUUAAACCAGAAUUCUCCGUGCAGCACCCUCUAUAGGGAACACCGUCCAAGUUUCAACACUACCAUAGACCACAGAGGGUCGCUCUAAACAAGGAAGAGAAUUGUCAAUGAUAAUUCUUGUUUAAAUACAAAGGUCGUUUUUUCAACCGGCCGGGGUCGUUUUUUUUUCUUGUCAAGGUCGUUUUUUUCUAGCAGCGGCACCAGUGUCCACAGUUGUUCGUCAGAAGCCUUAGUAGUUAUUCGGUUGUCGCUCUUUAUUCAAAUUCUUAACUCAAGGAAAUUGUCCCUUUAUUCCUUCCCUUCUUUGUUUAUCCCUUGUUAGUCUACUUCGUAGUUCCUUUUACCUAACUUGUUAGUCUACUUCGUAGGUCGAGCUCCUCUUCGUACCAGACGUUCCUCUGGUUAGUAGAACUCCACCAAGAAAGUCGAUGACGUACAAGGUAAUGCCUCUUCCCAUGAAUCAGCUAGAAUCCUCGGUCUGAGACGAGAGGAACGUCCCUCUUAAAGUUGUUUACCAUGAUAAUGAGAGGGUUGUUAAGAAAAUAGUGAUGUUUUACACAUCCUUGGAAUAAAAAGGGACUCUAUGACAUUAACUCCUUGGCUCUCGGCGCUGCCUUGUAACAUAAAACGUGAUGUAGGACAUAAACGAAACACCCUUCGACCGAACUCCUGUUUAUACAGUCGAGGUAAAAGCGACACUCACUAAGAAGUAUACUGC
Molecule: ribosomal RNA, 1236 nt
Filed under: Triticum aestivum (bread wheat)
Lineage: Eukaryota; Viridiplantae; Streptophyta; Magnoliopsida; Poales; Poaceae
Description: partial small subunit ribosomal RNA
Source: RNAcentral